AUGCAGAGUCGUGCAACGUCCUGGCGUCCUGGCGAGGCACCUGGGGAGCACAUAUCCCCUCAAGUAGGAAAUGCACCACCUGAAAAUGCCACGGCAGACCUGGGUCUCCACUUGCACGCCGGCACUGGAGCAGACCUGAGUCCCCCUCUUGCGCCAGAGCCUCUCCAAGGGCCCCCUGUUGGCGCCUCCCCUGCCUCCUUGCUUGCCAGCAGCACCAGUGUGCGUGGGUGUGGCUUCUCUCCUCCACUGCUCUUGCCCCAGGCCACCAGGAAACAUGGGGCCAACGUCACCUUCUUGUCACACGGGGACGGCAGAAGCCACCCUGGCUGCCUCUCAGUGCCGACAGGCUCCACAGGGCUCCUCGCAGCGCUCGUCCUGCUGCGUUUCUUUCGCCAGCUUCCCCGCCCGUGCCGCGCAGGUGCCGUCCACACCCCCUGCCGCGCCAGCCACUGGCGUCAGGAAGGCACUGGGGCCGUCAGCUGUCUUACACGUCAGAAGGAACUUCUGCCCCCUUCGAGGUUGCCUGACAGGCAGUCCAGUCUUUCUCUUCACUGCAUCCCUCAGGGAAGCACGCCAUCUCCAUGCCAGGGGACUUCUGCCAGCUCGUGCUUUCUCACUUGGAAGUUGGCUAGUACUCAACCCUCUGAUGAAUGGAAGAGUAACAACUUGCUUUUCUCUCUGCUGAGGAGUGGACCCAUGGAGACAGGCAGCUUCGAGGGAGUCUCUCUUUCUAAGGCUCAGGAAGUGCUUCCCGUACAGCCACAUCUCGAUUUGCGCCGUCUCCCGUAAGACCCCCAGCUGCCUCCC
This 807-nucleotide long non-coding RNA is filed under the name Microcebus murinus (gray mouse lemur). RNAcentral describes it as "lncRNA (ENSMICG00000048449.1)". Lineage: Eukaryota; Metazoa; Chordata; Mammalia; Primates; Cheirogaleidae. The record is from RNAcentral.